UUUUUCUUCUUCUCUUCACUCUUCUUCAGAAAUCGUCUUCCUCUUCCAAAAACUUGCUCUCUUGAAAUCUUUUUUCUCGUAUCACUUUCUUAUUCUCGUUCGAUUGUCUUUCUCUUACAACACCGAUCAUUAAGACGAUCAAAGGCGAUUUUUAAUUUUCUUCGUAUAUCGUAUUUCGUGAGGAUAAUUCGCUAACGCACUGCUUCGUUGCGCGGGAGGCACUAACUCUGGUCUUUUCCGAAGUGGCUCCGUUUUACUCUCGCUCUCUCUCUCUCUCUCUCUCUCUCUCUCUCUCUCUCUCGCUCUCUCCCUCUUAAUACGCGAUGGCUAACUCAACUCCUACGUUUUUGACGUCUCAGUAGAUAUAGGAUGACUUUUUUAUAUAAAUGCAAGAGACGUAAUGGCGUUGAACAGUUGCUUCUUCGUUUCCUCAAACGUGAAAACAGGCUUCGACGGCGUUAACAGUUCAAGUUUCAUCGUUACGCUCAAUUAUAUUCGAACGAUUUUCAUUUGACUAGUAACCGCAGCCCUUUCGCCAAUGAUCGAUCCGAUAAUCAUAGGCGAUGUUGUAGAAGUGUCGAUACGAGAUGCUCUAGAAUGCUCGGACCUUUCCACGACGAGCUUUAUUCUUUCAGAGUUUUGUAGAAGAUACUGGGCGUCUACAUGCCUCACAUCACGUGUGUCGUAAUCGUCGAUUUUCUUUAUCACGUCACCCCUCUGGAGCUCCUCGUUCUCCGACUAAAAUCAAAUACAAUGAUAACUUUCACUAAAUAUAUCAUAUGACAUGUCAUAUUAUAUACAUAUAAAUAUUUAUAUUUAUAUUUAUCAUAUAAUUAUAUUGAUUUUUUUAACAAAUAAUUUUUAGGAAAUUCACAAUAUUUUCACUUUUAUUCCAUUCAAAUGUUCAAACACGUACAUUUUGAAGAAAAAUAUUUUACCACGAAUUAUAUAUUUUUUUAUAUAAAAAUAAAAUAAAGCUGGUAUUUCGUAAAUAAGACAGUAUAUUCGCGCGCGCGUAUACGUAUGUACGUAUAUAUGUAUAUCUAUUAUGUUUAUGAGUAAAAGCAAACGAAAUUAAUCCUAUAGUUGUAUUGGUAAUAAAAAUAGUUGGCAUUAA
Vespula pensylvanica (western yellowjacket) is the source of this 1117-nucleotide long non-coding RNA. RefSeq lists it as uncharacterized. The transcript is spliced from 2 exons. The record is from RefSeq and is a predicted model, not a curated record. Lineage: Eukaryota; Metazoa; Arthropoda; Insecta; Hymenoptera; Vespidae.